AAUCUUCCACCAUGGACGAAAGUCUGAUGGAGCAACGCCGCGUGAGCGAAGAAGGUUUNCGGAUCNUNAAGCCCUGUUGCGAGGGNCGAACAAGUACGGGAGUAACUGCCCGUACCUUGACGGUACCUCGUCAGAAAGCCACGGCUAACUACGUGCCAUCAGCCGCGGUAAUACGUAGGUGGCAAGCGUUGUCCGGAAUUAUUGGGCGUAAAGCGCGCGAAGGCGGUCCUUUAAGUCUGAUGUGAGAGCCAACGGCUCAACCGUGGAGGGUCAUUGGAAACUGGAGGACUUGAGUACGGAAGAGGAAAGCGGAAUUCCACGUGUAGCGGUGAAAUACGUAGAGAUGUAGAGGAACACCAGUGGCGAAGGCGGCUUUCUGGUCUGUAACUGACGCUGAGGCGCGAAAGCGUGGGGAGCAAACA
This 422-nucleotide ribosomal RNA is filed under the name uncultured bacterium. RNAcentral describes it as "partial 16S ribosomal RNA". It matches the Rfam family "Bacterial small subunit ribosomal RNA", at positions 360 to 774 of the family's 1533-position model. The record is from RNAcentral.